UACGUAGGGCGCAAGCGUUGUCCGGAAUUAUUGGGCGUAAAGAGCUCGUAGGUGGCUUGUCGCGUCUGCCGUGAAAGCCCGUGGCUUAACUACGGGUCUGCGGUGGAUACGGGCAGGCUAGAGGCUGGUAGGGGCAAGCGGAAUUCCUGGUGUAGCGGUGAAAUGCGUAGAUAUCUGGAGGAACACCGGUGGCGAAGGCGGCAUCCUGGACCGAGAUUGACGCUGAGGCGCGAAAGCCAGGGGAGCAAACGGG
This 253-nucleotide ribosomal RNA is filed under the name uncultured bacterium. RNAcentral describes it as "partial 16S ribosomal RNA". It matches the Rfam family "Bacterial small subunit ribosomal RNA", at positions 524 to 776 of the family's 1533-position model. The record is from RNAcentral.